CCCACCCAGCAGUUCUGCUGACUGGUGAAACAGGUUUAUCCCAACUUAGCUCUUCAGGAGGCCAAGUGAAUGACUGCACACAAGAUUAGUGGUUGUAAACCUUGAUUCCUCCAGGCAGCUGAUGAGCACUAGUCCAAAGGAGAAGCUCCACCUUCUCCACGUAUUCCUUUGACAUAUUAAGGCUUGGUUUGAGCACUGCUUCUUUACCAUGGCUCUGCACAUGCACAUACUGGAAAAGUUUCAAUAUGUAGUGGGACCAUUUCACCAGGAGCUCCCUGCUCUUCCUCCCACCUGAGAACACCUGCACUCCCCAGCCUGCAGCUCUCCUAUGGCCUACUUCUGCCCAAGGGACUGAGGCGUAUCUGUCCUUACAGCAGGACAUGCACUGCUGUAGGUAUUUUAUUCAAAUCUAGUGUCUCCUCUAACAAGCAAACAACAUAAAAUGGAAAACCCAGCAGUUUUCUGACUGUCUCAAGCUAUGAUCCUCAUGGGACAUAAUCGCUUCAGUUGAAAGAGUAACAUUAAGAAAUGAGGUAUCAGACUCAUGAUUCAUGAACUGGGCUUUAAACACUUUGUGAUGAUACCACGCGUCCUCCAAUCACUUUUCUGCCCACAAAGCCAGAAAAGAGAUCCAGGCCUCUACUGAACAUUUGAAAGACACAGAACUUAAGCCACCCCUGGGAACCCAUCACUGUUUUUUUCUAUCUUAGAAAUAAUUUAUGAUGAUGUAAUUUUGUAAGCAUGUCAGCAUAUGACAUUGGCUUGUUCUACAUCAGGAACGUGAGAUCUUAGCUAUGGUAAAUCUGAAAGGAAAGGUACAUCUGAAAGGUAAGGGCUAUCCCAACCAACAGGGUAACACACUUACGGAAAUGGCCUUUGGGGAUCACUGCAUACCGCUACUCAUGCCAAGUUAGAAAGAAACCCACAAAGCCCUGUG
This 937-nucleotide long non-coding RNA is filed under the name Anas platyrhynchos platyrhynchos (common mallard). RNAcentral's name for it is "lncRNA (ENSAPLG00000029533.1)". Lineage: Eukaryota; Metazoa; Chordata; Aves; Anseriformes; Anatidae. The record is from RNAcentral.